GACUUCUCAACCAAAUAGUGUUCUAGCAUAUCGUCUUCGUUAUCUGCCAUUAACCAUAAGACAAGAUGGUUUCUUCAUCGAAUUGUGAACACAAAGCAUUUCCUUCAUAACAAAAUUCAGUGAUAAGACUACAUGGGAUAUAAGGAAAGAGAAUCACCUUCAAAAUCAUCAGAAUCGAAGUCAAUCUCGUCCUCAUCUUCUUCAUCGGACCCUUCAACGACUCGAGCUGCACCGUUCCAUGGAGGGAGAAAAAGCAAGCAAAAUGGAAAAAUGAUGGGGAAAGUGCAAGGAAAAAGAAGGGAAUAGAGAGCCAAUAAAGAAAGAAAAUGAGCUCCUUUUGAGGUUUGUGGAGACAGAGAAAUGAAACAAUGAAAGGAGAUAGAGAAAAGUAGCUCCUUUUGAGGUGGCUGUGUUAGAUAUUUUGAUAAUUUUAUGAGAAUUGGGAGAAACGGGUCCAAUCAGGGCCCCGUUUCAUAAGGCUUUUGCACCUGCCC
Molecule: long non-coding RNA, 494 nt
Filed under: Malus domestica (apple)
Lineage: Eukaryota; Viridiplantae; Streptophyta; Magnoliopsida; Rosales; Rosaceae
Description: long non-coding RNA (MDOM_LNC003392)
Source: RNAcentral